This 246-nucleotide ribosomal RNA is filed under the name uncultured Smithella sp. RNAcentral describes it as "partial 16S ribosomal RNA". It matches the Rfam family "Bacterial small subunit ribosomal RNA", at positions 1137 to 1382 of the family's 1533-position model. The record is from RNAcentral. Lineage: Bacteria; Pseudomonadati; Thermodesulfobacteriota; Syntrophia; Syntrophales; Smithellaceae.
CUACUUAAGAGACUGCCGGUGUUAAACGACGGAGGAGUGGGGAUGACGUCAAGUCCUCAUGGCCUUUAUGCUUAGGGCUACACACGUGCUACAAUGGGUGGUACAAAGAGAAGCCAACUCGCGAGAGUGCGCAAAUCUCAAAAAGCCAUCCUAAGUUCGGAUUGAAGUCUGCAACUCGACUUCAUGAAGCUGGAAUCGCUAGUAAUCGCGGAUCAGCAUGCCGCGGUGAAUACGUUCCCGGGCCUU